GUGCUUGCUACUGCAGCACAGAUAAUAAAUCUAGAAAGAUAUAAAGAAGAACAGCAUGUCCCUGCAUAUGGAUGUCAGCAAAUUCAUGAGGCAUUCCAUUAUUAA
Small nuclear RNA from Acomys russatus (golden spiny mouse), 105 nucleotides. NCBI's taxonomy places the organism in Eukaryota, Metazoa, Chordata, Mammalia, Rodentia, Muridae. The record is from RefSeq and is a predicted model, not a curated record.